Nymphaea colorata (pocket water lily) is the source of this 1910-nucleotide long non-coding RNA. RefSeq lists it as uncharacterized. NCBI's taxonomy places the organism in Eukaryota, Viridiplantae, Streptophyta, Magnoliopsida, Nymphaeales, Nymphaeaceae. The transcript is spliced from 2 exons. The record is from RefSeq and is a predicted model, not a curated record.
AUAAAACAUGCGCAUCAUCACACCUAACAUGAGGUCAAGCAAAUAGAGAACAUACCAGAAAAAUCCUACUAUCUUGCACCAAUCAUGGACUUCACCAAAUCAAAUCUUAAAAGUGGUCUUACCUUUAUGUCCCCACAAAAGCAAGUCAAUUUGGUGGCUUGGUGAGUCCGUGGUAGUCACAUAGAUGUUAACACAAACAACUCAAAUGUGGCAUGAUGUGCCUUUUGAUCGCAAGGGCGACAACAACUUUUUAUCAUUGGAAUUUGGAAAUACCAAGUUGAGACAUCGUUUAGGGACAUUUUGGCUGAAGGAGAAAGAGGGAGUCGUUUCCUACCAUCUUCCCUUUUCCUCACUCAUGAGGAAAUUACCAUUUUCAUGGCAACUCAAAAUAAAUGAGGAGAAGGAGCAUCCACCUCCUUCCCUCAUGAAUAAGAAAGGUAAGAUUGAUAGGUUAUUAAAACUUAAAGAACCAAAUCAAAGACUUCAUGUUAGUGCACCAGUUACGAUAAACAAAGUAAAAUCUAUUCCUGCAACAAGAAGCGAUAAAAAAUAACAAGAAUCUAUGUUCAACCAAGCUUGAACUUGAACAAUGCCAUCUAACACUUGUCCCACCAGUUACGAACUGAAAAAAGGGGUCUUUCAAAUCCCAAUUGGAGAAAUAAUCUUAUAGAAAAUAACUUCAAAUCGCAAAAGCACAAAACAGGAAAAAGCAUAGAUUGCUUCCACCAAUCAUGGACUUCACCAAAUCAAAUCUUAAAAGUGGUCUUACCUUUAUGUCCCCACAAAAGCAAGUCAAUUUGGUGGCUUGGUGAGUCCGUGGUAGUCACAUAGAUGUUAACACAAACAACUCAAAUGUGGCAUGAUGUGCCUUUUGAUCGCAAGGGCGACAACAACUUUUUAUCAUUGGAAUUUGGAAAUACCAAGUUGAGACAUCGUUUAGGGACAUUUUGGCUGAAGGAGAAAGAGGGAGUCGUUUCCUACCAUCUUCCCUUUUCCUCACUCAUGAGGAAAUUACCAUUUUCAUGGCAACUCAAAAUAAAUGAGGAGAAGGAGCAUCCACCUCCUUCCCUCAUGAAUAAGAAAGGUAAGAUUGAUAGGUUAUUAAAACUUAAAGAACCAAAUCAAAGACUUCAUGUUAGUGCACCAGUUACGAUAAACAAAGUAAAAUCUAUUCCUGCAACAAGAAGCGAUAAAAAAUAACAAGAAUCUAUGUUCAACCAAGCUUGAACUUGAACAAUGCCAUCUAACACUUGUCCCACCAGUUACGAACUGAAAAAAGGGUCUUUCAAAUCCCAAUUGGAGAAAUAAUCUUUUAUAGAAAAUAACUUCAAAUCGCAAAAGCACAAAACAGGAAAAAGCAUAGAUUGCUUCCACCAAUCAUGGACUUCACCAAAUCAAAUCUUAAAAGUGGUCUUACCUUUAUGUCCCCACAAAAGCAAGUCAAUUUGGUGGCUUGGUGAGUCCGUGGUAGUCACAUAGAUGUUAACACAAACAACUCAAAUGUGGCAUGAUGUGCCUUUUGAUCGCAAGGGCGACAACAACUUUUUAUCAUUGGAAUUUGGAAAUACCAAGUUGAGACAUCGUUUAGGGACAUUUUGGCUGAAGGAGAAAGAGGGAGUCGUUUCCUACCAUCUUCCCUUUUCCUCACUCAUGAGGAAAUUACCAUUUUCAUGGCAACUCAAAAUAAAUGAGGAGAAGGAGCAUCCACCUCCUUCCCUCAUGAAUAAGAAAGGUAAGAUUGAUAGGUUAUUAAAACUUAAAGAACCAAAUCAAAGACUUCAUGUUAGUGCACCAGUUACGAUAAACAAAGUAAAAUCUAUUCCUGCAACAAGAAGCGAUAAAAAAUAACAAGAAUCUAUGUUCAACCAAGCUUGAACUUGAACAAUGCCAUCUAACACUUGUCCCACCAG